Molecule: long non-coding RNA, 1167 nt
Filed under: Marmota monax (woodchuck)
Lineage: Eukaryota; Metazoa; Chordata; Mammalia; Rodentia; Sciuridae
Source: RNAcentral
GAAGCAUCUUGCAGACAUUGAGAUAAACCAUGUAUGAACAAAUUUGUUUCCCUCAUGAGGCAACAAGAAAAUAAAGUAGCUAAUAAGUUAAAUCAGGAGUGCUGCUAUGAGAGGUAUGGACCACUAAUGGAGACAGAAUAUGCUAAAUGGGUAGUUUUCAGGUUUCAUAUACAAGUAUAUUGAAAGGUUGUGGAGAAUAAAGCCUUAGUAACACCAGAUUUCUAGAAAUGUCAUGAUUAACUCUUAUGAAUAAGGCCAUUCUAUGCAAGUAUUUUGUUUUAUAUUGUUAUCAAAACUGUGCUGGAGCUACACUCCUCCAAACAUACAUGCUACCUUUGUCUAUUACUGUGUGGUGCAUACCAUCAUUAAUUUUCAUGAAUAAGGGACUGAUCAUAAGCUCACAUAUUUUAUGAGUUUAUUAAUAUUUCAGAGAGAAAUCACUUCAACAAAUGUCUGGGGUCUUCCACUGCCUUCUCUGUUUUAUUCCCCCAAUAUCUUCUCCUAUAUGCUCCAGGGAAAUGAUUCUGACAGUUUCAUUUUUUAUAUCUCACAAAAUAUUUCUGUUGAGGUCUUGAAGGUUGAAUAUGGCAUUUCAAAUAAAAACUUUAGUAUAUAGAAAAGUUGAAAGUGUAGUACAAUGAACAGCCAUGUAACCUUGUCAGUAUUUUUCUAUGCAUGUAUAUGUUUAUAUGUAUACAUGUAUGAUCUGUCUAUGCACCUUUUUCAACUUAUCAUCUACCUAAUAUCUAUCAUCUGCCAACUAUCCAUUUAUAUAUAAUGCAUUGAUCUGCCUAUCAAUCAUCUUAUACUUAUGCACUUAUCUGUCCAUCUAUCAUCUAUCAAUUUGUCCUAUCAGUUAUCUAUCAAUUAUCCAUCUAUUGAUCACCUAUCCACUAUACAUCCAUCACAUAGUUAUCCAUAUUAUUUUGUCAAAUCAUUUAAAAGUAAAUUGUAGAUAUCAUGAUACUUCACCCUUAAUACUUCAGCACAUGUAUCUAAAAAUAUGUUACCUUGUAAAAUCCAAAGUACUCACAAUAUAGCAGGUCGUCAUUAUUUAAGAAAUAUCAUAUUGUUCAUUUUUAACUUUUUAAUUGCUCUCUAAAUUUUCAGUUGUCCCAUAAUUUGUUAGACUGCUUUUAAGAUUUUCUAUUUACUAUUGGUUUACAG